GGAGCUUUGGAAUUUUGAUGUGGGAAAUAGUGACAUUGGGGUCAACACCAUAUCCUGGCAUUUCUGCGGCAGGUGUCAUGCGUAAGGUACGCGAUGGAUACCGUCUUGUAAAACCUGAACGUUGCCGACGUGAGCUAUAUAUCAUAAUAUAUUAUAUUACUGCUGGGCAGGCGAUCCCAAUGAGCGCCCUACUUUUGUAAAAUUGCUCCAAAUGCCAGAUAAACUACUACAUACUGAGGUGUAUUAUAUUGAACUGGAACGUUUUCCUGAUCACAACUACUAUAAUAUUCUGAAUCUGAGCGGCGAAAAGUUGUAAUACUAUACUAUAAUUAAUGUAUGUAAGAGUUUAAAAACUCUGUUCCAAUAAUAAACAAUUUCAUUACUUUUUA
Molecule: non-coding RNA, 389 nt
Organism: Bactrocera oleae (olive fruit fly)
Lineage: Eukaryota; Metazoa; Arthropoda; Insecta; Diptera; Tephritidae
Source: RefSeq, a predicted model, not a curated record